CGGGUUUUGCAUCAGCGCUUUUGGAAAUACAUAGUAUUUACUUAUGGAGACCUCUCAGCAUCUUCUGGCUGUCAUCAUCAGUUUCUUUGUGGUUUUCCCAUUGCAUCUGCACGCGAAGCAGGACGUUGUGUUCAGGUACGGUCUGCUGGAGACAAGGCCGACAGAUGGCGCUCAGGGCCGACGCUACUGUGUCACCUACUUCCCCAAAGUGCACAACCUCACCAUGGACAGCACCAACACGACGAGUCACCCGGUGUCGGACCUGACCGAGUGGGACGGCUGCGGUCCGCCGCCGGCGCCAACGCCGGCCACCGCCGGCCGCUGGGUGUUCCUCAACCAGUCCAAGGCGGCCAACUGCUCCAUCGACCAGCGGGUGGCUAACCUACUGACGCUGCAGGCAGCCGGCAUUGUGAUCCAGGUCAACGAGUCGUACGAUGACCUGGCCGCCAGCACCAACAGCUCGCCGAUGCCCGUCACAUUCAUCAGCUGGCGCCACGUGCCAGCGAUUGUGAACGCCUCUCCGCCGGUGGAGGCGAUCCAGUACGGGAUCCCCGAGGAGACCCUGUUCAACUACGGGCUCAUCAUCAUCUGGGUCAUCGCCAACACCACCAUCCUGCUCGGGGCCAUCUGGAGCGCCACUGUCAAAUACGAACUACACACUCAGGAGGAGCAGGCGCGCCGUGACGGCCCGGCCGGCGGCCGCUCGGCCUCAGUGACCACCACCCAGCCGGCGGCCGGCGAGCUCUCCUCCACACCUGUGACGGUCAUCUCUGCCGUGGCCGCCAUCGCGCUCAUCAUCACCUUCCUGCUGCUCUCCUACUUCUUCCCCAAGGUUAUGUAUUACGUGGUGCUGGUGUUGUUCUUCAUCGGCUCUGUGUCCGGGGUGUACACCUGCCUGAGCGCCGUCAACGCGCGCAUGCCCUGCAGCUGCGACCUCGGACUGGCUCCGGCGGUGACGACGCGCUGCUGCUCGUGCCGGGUGCGCGUCUCCCAGCUGCUCCUGUUCGCCGUAUCGCUGGCCGCCGGUAUCGUCUGGCUGGUGUUCCGUGAUAACGACGUCUGGGGCUGGGCGCUGCAGGACGUGCUUGGAGUGGCCUUCACGCUAUCGCUGAUCCGCUCCUGCCGAUUGCCCAACCUGCGCAUCAUGACUUUCUUCGCCGUCGGUCUCCUCAUCUACGACAUUUUCUUCGUGUUCAUCACACCGUUGUUCACAGCUAACGGCAAGAGCAUCAUGGUGGAGGUGGCCACCGGUGGCGGCGACUACAUCCUGCCCAUGGUGCUCAAGGUGCCGUACAUCGUGCACUCGCAGUACCCCGAGUGCCAGUCGCCGCAGUCUUUCUCCCUGCUCGGUUACGGAGAUAUCAUCGUGCCGGGCUUCAUAGUGGCGUACUGUGCGUCCAUUGACAAGAUUCACGGUAUCGCCUAUCACGCCUACCUGGUCACGGCGGCCACAGGAUACGGCGUGGGUCUGAUUGUGACGUUUGUGGCGCUGUACGCCAUGGAGGCGGCCCAGCCGGCGCUGCUGUACCUGGUGCCGCUCACCCUGCUACCUGUCGUGGUGGUAGCGCUCAUCCGACGGCAGCUCAGACUCCUCUGGCACGGAGCCAAACAGCCGUCCGGGGGUGAGCUGAUUCGGGAGCACGCCGACUACAACUCCGUCUCCCCUGUGGAGGAGUAGGGACGCCGCUCACUAGUCCACCGUCCGCCUGUUCAUCGGACCGCCGCUGCCGGCUGUAGGAGCUGUCCGGGAGCGCUGGCUGGCUGAAGAAGGUGCGUCCCAGGUCACUGGGAUGCAGCGGGUGCGGUCCGAGUGUGCGGGAGGCCGCGGUCCGGCGGCUCCGGCUCUGAAUACCGCGGCUCGGCCGUCCCGUGGGUGCCGGCGGGCCUGGCCAGGUCGACCGUCUCGGUAUUAAGGCAGUGUCAGAGAGCCGGCAAGGUGAGAGGCCGUCCGCUCCGUCCGCGCUGCGCCCCUCCCGUCCCCGAUGUGCGCCGGACGCCGUUUGACCGACCUACGGAAAUGCCUGGUCAAAUGUUUACGGCCGCUACAAGCGCUGUGUCGGUCACAGUCCAAAACGGACACCGCCCAAUGGCCACUCAUCGCCAAACAAUGUCAGACAGCUGCGCUCUGAACCUUUUUUUAGGUUAUUUGUGCACUGUUGUUAGCCUUUUUACCCACCUAUAUAUCAUAAUUUUGGCUGAUUAACGUUUGAAUUGCUAUUUAGAUACUUAAUUUUGUAUAUUUUUCUCCUAUUCAUGGUGAAGCAUUAUGAAAAGAUGGGACUUACUGAUGUGUUACAAGGAAUUUUGAUAAGUUUUGCCCGCGCACAUGCUUCAGAACUGGUUCAAAGGGCAAAUUAGAGGCAGUGUGUGCUACAGUAGAAUUUUUAUGACACGUGGUGGUGUUUCUACGUGUUAAGGGCUUUAUGAAACGAGGUCCAGGUCGCUCAUUGUAUGGUGGCAGGGCGUACCAACUUCUUUGGUAAUGUUUAACAUUGGUAUCCAUUGACCUUUGUACCAUUUAAUAUUAUAACUAUGUAGUUCAAACAAUGUUGUGUGAUGUUUGUACUCACCGGUGGGGGCUGGUGUAUUGCGUGACUUUCGUAUAUGCCCGAUAUCUACUGGCUGAAGCCUGAAGCUGUAUAUUUUUCUCAUGAUACAAACGCGCAGCGAAACACUUCUCUUGGUUUUGGUUAUGUUCUGUCGUUACUUAACUUUUCGAGACAAAGUGCAAAAUUUCACAUCGCUCAAUUUUUUUCUGGUCGUCACAUGGAUAUAUUUUUAGAUGAGCCAAGUUGUAAACAUUUUUUUCUGUACUUUACUCUGGUUGCAGGUAGAGCGUAGGUAGCUCAAACAGCGAAAGUUGUGUUUGCAUUAUUCAGUUAUCAAAAGUAUAAUUAAAAAUCAGGCGUAGUUGUUCGUAGGAUCUCACGAUUUACCCUGUCCGCACGUUCGGAGUGUGAUCAUAAGAUAUUUUUUUGUAGAGAUUAGUGCCCACUGCAGUCGUAAACCUUUUCGCCUACCUACAGUAGACUGUUUUCCGACAUCUUUCUCAGAGUUUUUACCGUACUCUCUUGUGCUAGUGGAUGGCGUUCGUGGUUAUAUAAAACCACGUAUUACAUGAAACCAAAUACAUACAUGGUUGUUUUA
RNAcentral lists this unclassified non-coding RNA (3147 nucleotides) under Amphibalanus amphitrite. RNAcentral describes it as "signal peptide peptidase-like 2A, transcript variant X9". The record is from RNAcentral. Lineage: Eukaryota; Metazoa; Arthropoda; Thecostraca; Balanomorpha; Balanidae.